UACGAAGGGGGCUAGCGUUGUUCGGAAUCACUGGGCGUAAAGCGCACGCAGGCGGAUCGAUAAGUCGGGGGUGAAAGCCCGGGGCUCAACCUCGGAAAUGCCUUCGAUACUGUCGGUCUCGAGUGCGGGAGAGGUGAGUGGAAUUCCUAGUGUAGAGGUGAAAUUCGUAGAUAUUAGGAAGAACACCAGUGGCGAAAGCGGCUCACUGGCCCGGUACUGACGCUCAGGUGCGAAAGCGUGGGGAGCAAACAGG
This 253-nucleotide ribosomal RNA is filed under the name uncultured bacterium. Its description in RNAcentral is "partial 16S ribosomal RNA". It matches the Rfam family "Bacterial small subunit ribosomal RNA", at positions 524 to 776 of the family's 1533-position model. The record is from RNAcentral.